RNAcentral lists this ribosomal RNA (2185 nucleotides) under Alicycliphilus sp. B1. Its description in RNAcentral is "bacterial LSU rRNA". It matches the Rfam family "Bacterial large subunit ribosomal RNA", at positions 734 to 2925 of the family's 2925-position model. Lineage: Bacteria; Pseudomonadati; Pseudomonadota; Betaproteobacteria; Burkholderiales; Comamonadaceae. The record is from RNAcentral.
CCAUGGCCAGGAUGAAGGUGCCGUAACAGGUACUGGAGGUCCGAACCGACUAGUGUUGCAAAACUAGCGGAUGAGCUGUGGAUAGGGGUGAAAGGCUAAAAAACUUGGAAAUAGCUGGUUCUCUCCGAAAACUAUUUAGGUAGUGCCUCAAGUAUUACCUGCGGGGUAGAGCACUGUUUUGGCUAGGGGGUCAUGGCGACUUACCAAACCAAGGCAAACUCCGAAUACUGCAGAGUACAGCUUGGAGACAGAGCACCGGGUGCUAACGUCCGGACUCAAGAGGGAAACAACCCAGACCGCCAGCUAAGGUCCCUAAAAUUGGCUAAGUGGGAAACGAAGUGGGAAGGCUAAAACAGUCAGGAUGUUGGCUUAGAAGCAGCCAUCAUUUAAAGAAAGCGUAUAGCUCACUGAUCGAGUCGUCCUGCGCGGAAGAUGUAACGGGGCUAAGCCAGUUACCGAAGCUGCGGAUGUGCAAUUUAUUGCACGUGGUAGGAGAGCGUUGUGUAAGCCUGUGAAGGUGUCUGGUAACGGAUGCUGGAGGUAUCACAAGUGCGAAUGCUGACAUGAGUAGCGUUAAAGCGGGUGAAAAGCCCGCUCGCCGUAAGCGCAAGGUUUCCUACGCAACGUUCAUCGGCGUAGGGUGAGUCGGCCCCUAAGGCGAGGCAGAGAUGCGUAGCUGAUGGGAAACAGGUCAAUAUUCCUGUACCGAUCAAUAGUGCGAUGUGGGGACGGAGAAGGUUAGCUCAGCCAACUGUUGGAUAUGUUGGUUCAAGCCUGUAGUCGUGCCUGGUAGGCAAAUCCGCCGGGCUAAGAUGAGGGGUGAUAACGAGUCUGCUUGCAGACGAAGUGAGUGAUACCCUGCUUCCAGGAAAAGCCACUAAGCUUCAGCUAUUGACGACCGUACCGCAAACCGACACUGGUGCGCGAGAUGAGUAUUCUAAGGCGCUUGAGAGAACUCAGGAGAAGGAACUCGGCAAAUUGAUACCGUAACUUCGGGAGAAGGUAUGCCGCAAGUAGGUGAACUUGUACAAAGGGAGCCCAAAGCGGUUGCAAAAAAUCGGUGGCUGCGACUGUUUUAAAAACACAGCACUCUGCAAACACGAAAGUGGACGUAUAGGUGUGACGCUGCCCGGUGCUGGAAGAUUAAAUGAUGGGUGCAAGCUCUUGAUUGAAGUCCCAGUAAACGGCGGCGUAAACUAUAACGGUCCUAAGGUAGCGAAAUUCCUUGUCGGGUAAGUUCCGACCUGCACGAAUGGCGUAACGAUGGCCACGCUGUCUCCUCCUGAGACUCAGCGAAGUUGAAAUGUUUGUGAUGAUGCAAUCUCCCGCGGAAAGACGGAAAGACCCCAUGAACCUUUACUGUAGCUUUGUAUUGGACUUUGAACGGAUCUGUGUAGGAUAGGUGGGAGGCUUUGAAGUGGUGACGCUAGUUGCCAUGGAGCCAACGUUGAAAUACCACCCUGGUGCGUUUGAGGUUCUAACCUAGGUCCCUUACCGGGAUCGGGGACAGUGCAUGGUAGGCAGUUUGACUGGGGCGGUCUCUCCCAAAGCGUAACGGAGGAGUUCGAAGGUACGCUAGUUACGGUCGGACAUCGUGACGAUAGUGCAAUGGCAUAAGCGUGCUUAACUGCGAGACUGACAAGUCGAGCAGAUGCGAAAGCAGGACAUAGUGAUCCGGUGGUUCUGUAUGGAAGGGCCAUCGCUCAACGGAUAAAAGGUACUCUGGGGAUAACAGGCUGAUACCGCCCAAGAGUUCAUAUCGACGGCGGUGUUUGGCACCUCGAUGUCGGCUCAUCUCAUCCUGGGGCUGUAGUCGGUCCCAAGGGUAUGGCUGUUCGCCAUUUAAAGAGGUACGUGAGCUGGGUUUAAAACGUCGUGAGACAGUUUGGUCCCUAUCUUCCGUGGGCGCUGCAGAUUUGAGGAAGCCUGCUCCUAGUACGAGAGGACCGGAGUGGACACACCUCUGGUGUAUCGGUUGUCACGCCAGUGGCAUUGCCGAGUAGCUAAGUGUGGAAGAGAUAACCGCUGAAAGCAUCUAAGCGGGAAACUCGUUUCAAAGAUGAGAUCUGCCGGGGCCUCGAGCCCCCUGAAGGGUCGUUGUAGACCACGACGUUGAUAGGCUGGGUGUGGAAGUGCAGCAUGCAUUAAGCUAACCAGUACUAAUUGCCCGUGCGGGCUUGACCUA